Small nuclear RNA from Juglans microcarpa x Juglans regia, 134 nucleotides. Lineage: Eukaryota; Viridiplantae; Streptophyta; Magnoliopsida; Fagales; Juglandaceae. The record is from RefSeq and is a predicted model, not a curated record.
GUUUUGGUAGAAAGGAAAGCUGGUUGGCAUCUCCCAAUGGAUGGGAACAGCCUUCGGGCUUACCUGUUACCGGCAUAUCGGCCCGUUAAGACUACCUACUUCGGUGGAUCUUCUAACCCAAUUUAAAUUUAUUU